UGCCCAGCAGCCGCGGUAAUACGGAGGGUGCGAGCGUUAAUCGGAAUUACUGGGCGUAAAGCGCAUGCAGGCGGCCUGUUAAGUCAGAUGUGAAAGCCCGGGGCGUUAACCUCGGAAUUGCAUUUGAAACUGGCAGGCUAGAGUCUUGUAGAGGGGGGUAGGAAUUUCAGGUGUAGCGGUGAAAUGCGUAGAGAUCUGAAGGAAUACCAGUGGCGAAGGCGGCCCCCCUCGGACAAAGACUGACGCUCAGAUGCGAAAGCGUGGGGAGCAAACAGGAUUAGAUACCCCUGGUAG
Molecule: ribosomal RNA, 294 nt
Filed under: uncultured bacterium
Lineage: Bacteria
Description: partial 16S ribosomal RNA
Rfam family: Bacterial small subunit ribosomal RNA
Source: RNAcentral